GCGUUGGUGGUUCAGUGGUAGAAUACUCGCCUGCCACGCGGGUGACCCGGGUUCGAUUCCCGGCUGACGCA
This 71-nucleotide transfer RNA is filed under the name Rhipicephalus microplus (southern cattle tick). RNAcentral's name for it is "tRNA-Gly". It matches the Rfam family "tRNA". Rfam says of the family: Transfer RNA (tRNA) molecules are approximately 80 nucleotides in length. Their secondary structure includes four short double-helical elements and three loops (D, anti-codon, and T loops). Further hydrogen bonds mediate the characteristic L-shaped molecular structure. tRNAs have two regions of fundamental functional importance: the anti-codon, which is responsible for specific mRNA codon recognition, and the 3' end, to which the tRNAs corresponding amino acid is attached (by aminoacyl-tRNA synthetases). tRNAs cope with the degeneracy of the genetic code in two manners: having more than one tRNA (with a specific anti-codon) for a particular amino acid; and 'wobble' base-pairing, i.e. permitting non-standard base-pairing at the 3rd anti-codon position. The record is from Rfam by way of RNAcentral. Lineage: Eukaryota; Metazoa; Arthropoda; Arachnida; Ixodida; Ixodidae.